Molecule: ribosomal RNA, 471 nt
Filed under: Pantoea agglomerans
Lineage: Bacteria; Pseudomonadati; Pseudomonadota; Gammaproteobacteria; Enterobacterales; Erwiniaceae
Description: bacterial SSU rRNA
Rfam family: Bacterial small subunit ribosomal RNA
Source: RNAcentral
AAAUUGAAGAGUUUGAUCAUGGCUCAGAUUGAACGCUGGCGGCAGGCCUAACACAUGCAAGUCGGACGGUAGCACAGAGGAGCUUGCUCCUUGGGUGACGAGUGGCGGACGGGUGAGUAAUGUCUGGGGAUCUGCCCGAUAGAGGGGGAUAACCACUGGAAACGGUGGCUAAUACCGCAUAACGUCGCAAGACCAAAGAGGGGGACCUUCGGGCCUCUCACUAUCGGAUGAACCCAGAUGGGAUUAGCUAGUAGGCGGGGUAAUGGCCCACCUAGGCGACGAUCCCUAGCUGGUCUGAGAGGAUGACCAGCCACACUGGAACUGAGACACGGUCCAGACUCCUACGGGAGGCAGCAGUGGGGAAUAUUGCACAAUGGGCGCAAGCCUGAUGCAGCCAUGCCGCGUGUAUGAAGAAGGCCUUCGGGUUGUAAAGUACUUUCAGCGGGGAGGAAGGCGAUGCGGUUAAUAACC